RNAcentral lists this transfer RNA (90 nucleotides) under Burkholderiales bacterium. Its description in RNAcentral is "tRNA-Ser". It matches the Rfam family "tRNA". From Rfam's summary of the family: Transfer RNA (tRNA) molecules are approximately 80 nucleotides in length. Their secondary structure includes four short double-helical elements and three loops (D, anti-codon, and T loops). RNAcentral also lists the same sequence under 2 other names. Lineage: Bacteria; Pseudomonadati; Pseudomonadota; Betaproteobacteria; Burkholderiales. The record is from RNAcentral.
GGAAAAGUGUCUGAGUGGCCGAAGGUACUCCCUUGGAAAGGGAGCAGACGGUAAAACGUCUCGCGGGUUCGAAUCCCGCCUUUUCCGCCA